RNAcentral lists this transfer RNA (72 nucleotides) under Urocitellus parryii (Arctic ground squirrel). RNAcentral describes it as "Spermophilus parryii (Arctic ground squirrel) tRNA". It matches the Rfam family "tRNA". Rfam says of the family: Transfer RNA (tRNA) molecules are approximately 80 nucleotides in length. Lineage: Eukaryota; Metazoa; Chordata; Mammalia; Rodentia; Sciuridae. The record is from Rfam by way of RNAcentral. RNAcentral also lists the same sequence under 1 other name.
UGGGAUGUAGUUCAGUGGUGGAGCACUUGCCUAGCAUGCUCAAGGGUCUGGGUUCAAUCCCCAGCACCACAA